GACGAACGCUGGCGGCGUGCUUAACACAUGCAAGUCGAGCGGUAAGGCCCUUUCGGGGGUACACGAGCGGCGAACGGGUGAGUAACACGUGGGUGACCUGCCCUUAGCUCUGGGAUAAGCCUGGGAAACUGGGUCUAAUACCGGAUAUGACUCCAUGGCGCAUGUUGUGGGGUGGAAAGCCUUGUGCGGCUAGGGAUGGGCCCGCGGCCUAUCAGCUUGUUGGUGGGGUGAUGGCCACCAAGGCGACGACGGGUAGCCGGCCUGAGAGGGCGACCGGCCACACUGGGACUGAGACACGGCCCAGACUCCUACGGGAGGCAGCAGUGGGGAAUCUUGCGCAAUGGGCGAAAGCCUGACGCAGCGACGCCGCGUGAGGGAUGACGGCCU
Molecule: ribosomal RNA, 387 nt
Filed under: uncultured bacterium
Lineage: Bacteria
Description: bacterial SSU rRNA
Rfam family: Bacterial small subunit ribosomal RNA
Source: RNAcentral